AGCUUCCGACCAGUUGUACAAAGUUGUAAGUUCCUUAGGACAAAUGAAAAAUUAAACUGGGCUGUUAUUUUAUGAGGAAAGGAAAUGAAAUUAACCAGAAAUGUAAAUACUAAAGCAUUGGACUAAGAAAUUAAGAAGCUUUCCUCCAAGUUGUAAGUUUAGUAGUAUUGAAAAUACUACUACUAGAGCAACAGUUUUGGUAAAAGUUAAUACAAGAAAUUGUAUUAAGUAUACAGGUAUUUGGAUCAUUUAUUCGGAAAGCACUCAUCGAGUCUUAUUUUCUUCAGGCACUCGAACCAAUUGAUUGUAUCAAUCUACUAGCACACCAAAAUAAUUGAGAGAUCUCGGAUUCGAACUCUUAGAACAUUAAUAAAGUCUAUUCUCAUUUGUAUAUUA
Aethina tumida (small hive beetle) is the source of this 396-nucleotide long non-coding RNA. RefSeq lists it as uncharacterized. The transcript is spliced from 3 exons. NCBI's taxonomy places the organism in Eukaryota, Metazoa, Arthropoda, Insecta, Coleoptera, Nitidulidae. The record is from RefSeq and is a predicted model, not a curated record.